CCCUAGGGAGGAAAAGAAACCAACUGGGAUUACCUUAGUAACGGCGAGUGAAGCGGUAAAAGCUCAAAUUUGAAAUCUGGUACUUUCAGUGCCCGAGUUGUAAUUUGUAGAAUUUGUCUUUGAUUAGGUCCUUGUCUAUGUUCCUUGGAACAGGACGUCAUAGAGGGUGAGAAUCCCGUUUGGCGAGGAUACCUUUUCUCUGUAAGACUUUUUCGAAGAGUCGAGUUGUUUGGGAAUGCAGCUCAAAGUGGGUGGUAAAUUCCAUCUAAAGCUAAAUAUUGGCGAGAGACCGAUAGCGAACAAGUACAGUGAUGGAAAGAUGAAAAGAACUUUGAAAAGAGAGUGAAAAAGUACGUGAAAUUGUUGAAAGGGAAGGGCAUUUGAUCAGACAUGGUGUUUUUUGCAUGCACUCGCCUCUCGUGGGCUUGGGCCUCUCAAAAAUUUCACUGGGCCAACAUCAAUUCUGGCAGCAGGAUAAAUCAUUAAGAAUGUAGCUACUUCGGUAGUGUUAUAGCUUUUUGGAAUACUGUUAGCCGGGAUUGAGGACUGCGCUUCGGCAAGGAUGUUGGCAUAAUGGUUAAAUGCCGCCCGUCUU
Molecule: ribosomal RNA, 595 nt
Filed under: Hanseniaspora uvarum
Lineage: Eukaryota; Fungi; Ascomycota; Saccharomycetes; Saccharomycodales; Saccharomycodaceae
Description: eukaryotic LSU rRNA
Rfam family: Eukaryotic large subunit ribosomal RNA
Source: RNAcentral